CCAAAAUUUGCUCAUUUAUUUUCUUUACAUUAAGAUCUCUGGUUCUUACCAGUGGGUCAUUUCAAACUCUAUCUCUGCUUCCCCCAGCUAGGGAUAGAAAGCCACUAUUACAGACAGGGGCUGCAUCCUUCAGGUGCUUUCUGCAGAAAUGAGCUCAAUAACCACUGAAGACAGAUGUUAAUGAUGUCUGUUUUAAGGCAAAUUAUUUGGAGACGAGGGUAACCAAGUGGAGCUGAAUGACACUGGAUGGUAAUAACUUAAUUUGCCUCAGUGACAGUUCAUCAGGUCCUUUCACUUCCAUUUUCUCAUCUGACCAUCAUGACCUUAUGGUGUAAGUAAAAAUGAUUACUUCCCUUUUUUCUUUUCUUCAGAGGGGAAAUCUGGGUUUGGAGCAGCUAUACCAUAUAUCUAAGGUCAAACACCUAAGAGGAACUUUUAACUUGGGUCAUUUAAGUGCAAGUGCCUUGUUUUCGCCAUUUUGCCAAGGACAUGGGGCUCAAGUUUGGGUGUGCACCUGGCUUGCAGCAGAACUGGCUGGGAUGGCUUCAUAACUUCCCUUCUAACAAUAUAACAAUAUGCUUCUGUAAAUUUUCACACUGAAUUGGACAAGAAUCAGAAUAUCCUGUUUUGAACAUCUGCACAGAUUGACAAACAAAAAUGGAACAUCAAGACUGACUGGAAAUGGUGAUGUGAAAUUCAUUAAAUGCUCUUGCAAUUGCCAGAGGUGACAUAUAUACAUACAGCAUCAUUGUUUUCUGGAAAAUGGGCUACAGGAGAAUCUUAAAGAAGCAGUGAAUUGGCCGGGCACUGUGGCUCACGCCUGUAAUCCCAGCACUUUGGGAGGCCAAGGCGGGCAGAUCACGAGGUGCCAAGACUGAGGCUCAGAGAAAUGAAAUAACAUGCCAAAGGUCACAGUGUCUAGUGGAGCUGGGGCCAAAUUCAGGUUCGCGUGAUUAAUAACACACAGGAAAAACCCUCAACUUCUUUCAUUCGCCUGUUGAGAUAAAGGGAAAGAGAGUCCCCAUCCAGGCCUGCAGGAGAGGGAGAACUGGUGGAUGCAAAUGAAAAAGCAGAGGCAUUCCUCAGCUCUUUUAUCCCAGAGAUUAUAGUGCUGGAGUUGGAAGAAGAUGGGAGAAACAUAUGAGGAGAGAAGGAAGUCGAGCUCAUACCAUGAUGAAGAAGAUAACUCCUGAAGAUUGGGAAGGGCACUGGCUGGCUCUCAAAGAUGGACAAAUGGCUUUACGACGCUUAAGGGGAUGCUCUGUGGAGUCUGCUUGGGUGCAAAUCACCACCAUGACACACUACCCAUGGUACCGUUUUUCAGCCCCAGCCAUCACUUCAUCCUUUGCUCUGUAGCUUUCUUCAUUUGUUGGGAGAGAGGCUAUUCUUUUACUUGAACUUAGUGGGAGCUCAUUUUGCAAAGAUACAUGCUUCACCAUCCCCUGAAAGAUUUAUAUAGAAGGACACUGUGGCAACAUGUGACCUUUUGAAACUGCUCCCUUGGAAGGAAUUCUAAUGUCCUCCUGUCUAUGUUACCUGCUGUGUACCUACCACUGGGGAAAGAUGCUGAAAAUUUAAUGAAUUGCAGAAAAGCUGUGCAAGCUUCUCUUUUGGAAGAACCUUGGAGAAGAGAGAGGCUGACAGAAAGAAAACUUUCAAAGAAAUUACACUGCCCUCAAGGGUGGCAUCUACAGAGGACAGUGACAGGGCCUUGGAGACGUAUGAUUUCUUCUGCUGCUCAUUUACCUAGGUCUGUUUUCACUCUGGUGACUGGCCACAAUCAUGGGAAAAGUGAAGAAAUCUGAUAACUAUCAAGGUACAAAUUGCUAGAGAAAGAAAAUCGGGACUCUUACAACUAAGGGCUAAUUGAUGUGGAGAUGGAAGGUUUGUGGUGCUAUGUUUUGCAUGUGCCUCUGUGUGUGUUUGUGUGUGUAUAUAUAGGAGGGUAGGAGGUAGAAGAAUUCACAGUACAACCUAAUAAUCUGGGCCAUGGACCCAGCCAAAGAAGCGGGGACAGGGGUUGAAUGGAGAAGCACAUGGGACCAGAUGUACAAUGUAUCUGGAAAACAGACACAUAUACCGCAUCCAGGGAAUAACUGCAAACAGUCAAAUAACAUAUUUUGUAUUCAACCACUGACACAGAAAUUCAUGCACAAUGUAUUUUAUUUUUUAGUGGAAGAGAGAGAACUAUGCCACCCCUUUAAGGUAUGAUGCCAUUCUUAGAAAUAAAUAUUCGUAUAGAGAAAACUAUCUGAAAGGAUAGAUGUCAAAAUGUUUACAUAAGAGAUUAUUUCCGGAUGUAAGAAUUAGAGGGGAAUUUUAUAUUUUUUAUUUUUUGUGUAUGUACAGUUUCUAAUUUUCCUACAUUUAGUAUGUAAAAAGGAAAAAAAAGUAGCACAUUUUUAGAAAAGAAUUCUAAAUUUCUUUUAUAAAUAUCACUAAGGAAACAGAUUUGAUUUGGGCAAAGGGAAGAAGAGAUUAGAAUAGGGGUUGGCAAACUACGACCCUCUGAGCUAAAUCUGGCCUGCCACCUGUUUUUGUAAAUAAAGUUUCAUUGGAAUACAACCACUUCUUUCAUUUAUAUACUACAAACAUGGAGUUUAGCAGUUGUGACAAAGACCCUACGACCUACAAAGCCAAAUGGCUCUCCUAUCUGGUCCUUUACAAAAAAAGUUUGCCUAAACCCAGUUUAGAAGAAUCCUCCUAAUAUGGUCUUACCUAUUUUACCUUACUAGUUGUGUGAGCUUAGGGAAGUCAUAACUUUCACACCUCAGGUUCCUCAUGUGUAAUGAGAUGGAUAACACAUCUUAGACAUUUUAUGAAAAUUAAAUGAUUUAAUACAUAAAUGGUGCUAAACACUGUGUUUGGCAUAUAGUAGAUGCUCAAUAAAUAUUAUGCUCCUACUUAUUUUCUACUUCCUUUAAAUAAAAUGCAUUAUUCUGAUUUCAUGGCAAAUCUAAUGAAACUGCCAUUUUUGCUAGUCAAAAUUGUUCAAUAUUGGCAAUUUUAUAUGGCUCAAUGUAAUCAUACUUUAGCCAUUUACUAUUCUCAUUGCUCUUGUUUAAGUUGUAAUUGCUGAGCUUGUAUCUAUCAAUGUCACCAAGGUAGUUUUAGGGUUAGCUAAAUUGCCACAAACGGCUGGAAACCAAAAUCUAUUAAUAGCAUUGUUCUAUCCAAAUGUGGACACUUUGGGUGUAUGAAACAAAACACUGUAUUUGUAUUUCACUUUGUUACUUGUGUAACACAGGGAAAUCUGCAUUCAAUGCACCUAUGGUGUGACAGAUUAGGGCCUCUUUCCUGCUGCCCUAAAUAGAAGCUUUUUAGAUAAAGGAUAUUUGCUUCCACCCUACAAAACAGCACCUGACUUAAAUUUCAGCAGACUCAGUGAGCUUUCACAGCACUGCGACAAUCACUCUUGGCACUGAGCAAAGUUCUGACACAGUCUACCACAACAUCCUGGGAAGAACUGCUGAAGGGAACAUGGGGCUCAGGAUGCUACAAAAUUUGGAGACUGUCAUUCAAUCGCACUUGAAGAUGAUAUUCUGGGGCUUAGUGCAGAUCCAAAAUAGGAGUUCUUUAAAAAAGUAAAAUGGGGUUUCUCCAAGAACAAGACAGGAAGACCGACUGGAACAUCAAUGGAAUGUAAGUGUAAGAAGUUGCAGAUAGGGAAGUAUAGGAUGAGCUUCAUGAAAAGGAGGCAAAAUCAGGAAACUGAAAGACUAAUCAAAGUAUUCUUAUCAACAGAAAUGAAGAAAGGCUUUUAGUUCAGUGCUAAGACUAUCAAAGGAAGAACAAACCCAAUUUAAUCCAAUCAACACUUAUUAAAUGCCUACUUUAUGCCAGGCACUGGGUUAACACAGCUAGAGAUAGUAAGAUAAAUCAGACACAAUUUCUACCUUAGAGAAGUUUCUGGGCUGGUGGGAGGGAGAUAAACAUGGAACCAAAUAACUUUAAUAUCGUGAUAAAUGUUAUAAUACUAACAAUAAUAGCUGUCAUUUAUUAAUUGUGUAAAAUGUAAAGCAAACACAGAAUGGAAAAAUUAGUUUUGCUUGGAGAGGUCCAGAGAGGGUAGGGAGGAGGGGAAUAAUUACAGUCAGCACCUGAAAAUGACCAAAAGUUCACGAAGCUAAUACUGAGGCAAGAAUGAGAGUGAUGUGCUGUGGUUUCAGGACAGGAUGGAUUGUUGUAAUGGUUAAAAUGAAGCUGACGAAAAACCUCAUAAGCCAAACUUAGGAAUUGUGACGUUAUUCAGUAGGCAUUAAUUCUCAAUAAGCAGGAAGCAGUUUGGUUCAGUCCGGUUUAAAAAAGACAAGAGAAUACUUUCCUAGAGAGCCAUGAGGCAGGAUCAUAGGAAGAAGAGAGACUAAAUGGUUCUGUCUGUGAAAAUUUAGACCAGAAAAGUGGCAGUAAGAAGAGAGAAGAGGAGAUGGAUACAGGAUGCAGCAUGUCUUCAAACUGAAAUGCAAAAGUGGAGGGAGACAUUCUGAAGACCCAGAGGAGAAACAGAUGAAAAGAACUGUGGUGUGGGAGGAGCAAGGGACGGUAGGCAAGGAGAAGACCACAGUUAGGUCACUGGCCUUGGGAAAGGGAACAUCUUUUUUUCCUCGACCAGCCUGGGCAACACGGUGAAAACCUGCCUCUACAAAUAAAAAUACAAAAAAAUUUGGCCAAGUGUGGUAGUGUGCGCCUGUAGUCCCAGGUACUCGGGAGGCUGUGUGUGGAGGCUCUGGGGCUUGUGCCCAGGGUAUCGAGGCUGCAGUGAGCCGUGAUGUCACAUGUCACGUCUCAUUAAAGGGUAUUGAAUGAUACCCAAGAGAGGAAAAAUCUGAUUUCCUUAGCCUGGCCCUCAAAGCAUUCUGUAAUGUAGCUCACAACCUAUUCUUCUGAUCCAUUUUCACCUCCUUUAUUCUUCCCUCCUGAGGGUAUAGAUACCCAAAUGUCUUCGGGACUCAGGCGGGUAACACACAAGGGGGUGAAGUGGCAGGGUCUGAGGCCCUGAAGUGGUGAGUCCAUGGCUCACAGGACGUUAUAUUUUCUUUUUAAAUUCACUGAGAGGCAAACAACAUAUAUACACACAGAGAUUUUAGAAGUUUAACGUUUAUCUUGAGAGGCUUUACCUUCUAAAAUUCUACACAGCAUCAAUCCAGCCUUCUCUAAGCAGACUUCCCAGUCAACCAGGCUUAUAGACAAGAGUUC
This 5196-nucleotide long non-coding RNA is filed under the name Homo sapiens (human). RNAcentral describes it as "HSALNT0349326". Lineage: Eukaryota; Metazoa; Chordata; Mammalia; Primates; Hominidae. The record is from RNAcentral.